This 497-nucleotide ribosomal RNA is filed under the name uncultured bacterium. RNAcentral describes it as "partial 16S ribosomal RNA". It matches the Rfam family "Bacterial small subunit ribosomal RNA", at positions 28 to 507 of the family's 1533-position model. The record is from RNAcentral.
GACGAACGCUGGCGGCGUGCCUAAUACAUGCAAGUUGAGCGCUGAAGGUUGGUACUUGUACCAACUGGAUGAGCAGCGAACGGGUGAGUAACGCGUGGGGAAUCUGCCUUUGAGCGGGGGACAACAUUUGGAAACGAAUGCUAAUACCGCAUAAAAACUUUAAACACAAGUUUUAAGUUUGAAAGAUGCAAUUGCAUCACUCAAAGAUGAUCCCGCGUUGUAUUAGCUAGUUGGUGAAGUAAAGGCUCACCAAGGCGAUGAUACAUAGCCGACCUGAGAGGGUGAUCGGCCACAUUGGGACUGAGACACGGCCCAAACUCCUACGGGAGGCAGCAGUAGGGAAUCUUCGGCAAUGGACGAAAGUCUGACCGAGCAACGCCGCGUGAGUGAAGAAGGUUUUCGGAUCGUAAAACUCUGUUGGUAGAGAAGAACGUUGGUGAGAGUGGAAAGCUCAUCAAGUGACGGUAACUACCCAGAAAGGGACGGCUAACUACGUG